This 387-nucleotide ribosomal RNA is filed under the name uncultured bacterium. RNAcentral's name for it is "bacterial SSU rRNA". It matches the Rfam family "Bacterial small subunit ribosomal RNA", at positions 28 to 417 of the family's 1533-position model. The record is from RNAcentral.
GACGAACGCCGGCGGCGUGCUUAACACAUGCAAGUCGAGCGGUAAGGCCCUUUCGGGGGUACACGAGCGGCGAACGGGUGAGUAACACGUGGGUGACCUGCCCUCAGCUCUGGGAUAAGCCCGGGAAACUGGGUCUAAUACCGGAUAUGACUCCAUGACGCAUGUUGUGGGGUGGAAAGCCUUGUGCGGCUGAGGAUGGGCCCGCGGCCUAUCAGCUUGUUGGUGGGGUGAUGGCCACCAAGGCGACGACGGGUAGCCGGCCUGAGAGGGCGACCGGCCACACUGGGACUGAGACACGGCCCAGACUCCUACGGGAGGCAGCAGUGGGGAAUCUUGCGCAAUGGGCGAAAGCCUGACGCAGCGACGCCGCGUGAGGGAUGACGGCCU